This 253-nucleotide ribosomal RNA is filed under the name uncultured bacterium. RNAcentral describes it as "partial 16S ribosomal RNA". It matches the Rfam family "Bacterial small subunit ribosomal RNA", at positions 524 to 776 of the family's 1533-position model. The record is from RNAcentral.
UACGUAGGCAGCGAGCGUUGUUCGGAAUUACUGGGCGUAAAGAGUGUGUAGGCGGUGCUCCCAGUCUGUUGUGAAAUCUCCCGGCUUAACUGGGAGGGUGCAGCGGAAACUAGAGUGCUAGAGGAUGGGAGAGGUAAGCGGAAUUCCUGGUGUAGCGGUGAAAUGCGUAGAUAUCAGGAGGAACACCUGUGGUGUAGACAGCUUACUGGACCACUUCUGACGCUGAGACACGAAAGCUAGGGGAGCAAACAGG